AGCAGCCGCGGUAAUUCCAGCUCCAAUAGCGUAUAUUAAAGUUGUUGCAGUUAAAAAGCUCGUAGUUGAAUUUCGGGGUUCUACCGUUGGUCGGGCUAUUGUCUGUACUGGCGUGUAGAAUUUCUACCUUCUGGGGAACUAUCAUGUUAUUAAUUUAGCGUGGUAGGAAACCAGAACCUUUACCUUGAGAAAAUUAGAGUGUUCAAAGCAGGCUUAUGUCUGAAUACAUUAGCAUGGAAUAAUAAAAUAGGACGGUGGUCCUGUUUUGUUGGUUUCUGAAUCACCGUAAUGAUUAAUAGGGAUAGUUGGGGGCAUUAGUAUUCAAUUGUCAGAGGUGAAAUUCUUGGAUUUAUUGAAGACUAACUACUGCGAAAGCAUUUGCCAAGGAUGUUUUCAUUAAUCAAGAACGAAAGUUAGGGGAUCGAAGACGAUCAGAUACCGUCGUAGUCUUUAACCAUAAACUAUGUCCGACUAGGGAUCGGAUGAUGUUAAUUUUUAAUGUACUCAUUCGGCGCCUUAC
Molecule: ribosomal RNA, 520 nt
Filed under: uncultured Scutellospora
Lineage: Eukaryota; Fungi; Glomeromycota; Glomeromycetes; Diversisporales; Gigasporaceae
Description: SSU rRNA
Rfam family: Eukaryotic small subunit ribosomal RNA
Source: RNAcentral